ACACACACACAUACACACACACACACGACGGGAAUUAAUUGUAAACAUAUUUGUAGUUUUAAAGUAAAACAGCAAUUUUGAUGGAUGCUCUCCAUUUUGAAUGGUUAAGGUGGAUAAAUCUGAGAGUAAAUUCACGAUGGUUUUCCUGUGUUUAUUCAUCUUUUCAUGGACGAUGACAUCUGUGACUCUGGAAAAAGUUAAAGUGGGAACAUGAUAUUUCAGCUUACUGAAAUACAUAGUUAAAAUAUUGUAUUUCUUUCUUUUUUUCAUGGAUAACUUUUUGUGUAUAGCUGUUAAACUGACAACUUGAUCAGAAAUCGUGCUGACUGUUGAUGCUGUAGUGCUGUGUGUGCUCCAGGCACUGACCUGAACCUUUACACUGUUCAGUUAUUUUUUAUUAGUUUCAUUAUGUCCUGGAUUUAUCAGCAUUAUGUUCAUUCUCAUUCAUCAGGUUUUGCUUCCUAAAUGCUUGUGCAGCUUGUGUGCUUAUCGACCAGGAGGUUUUGCAAUUUCCCAAAAUAUAAGUCAUGUCAGACUUGACCUUGGGAAAGACAUCACCAGCAUGUUACCAUCUUGCCUACUAAUGGUGAUCAGGGGGACCUAGAACAGAGCUGAUUUAAGAUCUAGGUAAACUUGUUCAAUUUGGGGUUAAAAACAAACAUUUUCACAUAUUUUCCAUGUAGUUUUUUUGCCAGUUCCUCUUCUGAAAGGUAGACAAUUGUUUUUCUCUUUCCCUCAGAAAAUCUUAAUAUUCUCCUAGUUUGGCCCAGCACAGUUCACUUCCCAAUAGCAGCAACAGCCUUAUAUCAUAACCACAUAAGUGGAGAAAAUAUUCAGUAGCAAUGAGAGAAUUUGCUGUUGCAUUUAAGUGAUGUUAACUAUUAUUUAACAUUUAAACUUAUUUUCAGAUUUUUUUUUAUUUAUUCAGAAAACCCUGGUAAGGGAUGUUUUUCUGUAUUUGGAGCAUCAGAAAAAGUUUUAUGGUGGUGGUGACGUUUUAAAGUCACUGAGAAACUGCAUGCAUGCAGUUUGUUGUUUUGCUGCUAAUACAGUAGCAGGUGCAGCUGCAUAUUUUUGCAAUAAAAAUGUUAUGUUGUAAUGGAAUUCGUGCAUUAGUUAUGUUUGCUUUGAACCCAGAGCAGACGUCACACGCCAGACGACAUCAACACUGCAUACUUUAGUAUUUGUUCAUUUAUCGUGAGUAAUAUCGAUAUCGCAAUAUUAAGCACUGUUAUCGAAUAUCGCAGGUUUUCCUAAUAUCGUGCAGCCCUAACACGUUGUUUUACAAGUAUUAUUCUCAUGUCAUGUUGUGUUCUCACAUAUUUAUAUUUUAGAGACUUUUUUGUGACAAGUUCAUCAACUCUGCAUCAGCCGAGGUAUUCCUUAGAUUUGAAGCACGUAAGCGGUAGUCUAACGCCAUUGGUUAGUUCUGGUUGGUGCUCAGUUUCUAUUGCACGGAGCUUUACGGGGCAGGGGGCGUGCUUAGCCAAAAAAAAGGCGUAUUGUUUACAUUUUAUCACAUUACAUGAUAAGAUAAUCACUUUUAUGGAUUUCUGAAAAAUCAUACAUAAUUUCUGAAAGGGUAAAACUCCGGAAAGCAGCUUUAAGAAGACUAGAAGUACAUUUUCGCACUUUAGCAGUAAUUUGUAAUAGCAUUGUCAGUAAAUCACCAAGUAUGGAGGAUUGAUCCAGCCCAAAAUACAUAAAUAAAUGAAAGCAAUUGAUAUGCCAAAUUAUGCAUGAAACUGGAUUGUAGGAUUCGGAUGGUGAGUCAAAAAACAUCCUCAGUAAAAUAUGCCGGGUGAUAGUAAAGUCGUAUCUGCGCGCUGCUCAUUAAUGCUAAAUCCUUUAAAUGCUGUUUGUUUUUUAACAUGAUGAACACACAAUUGUUUAAUUAUCUACUGGCAUUAUUUAUGUAUUAAUUGCUUUAUCAAAUCAUUUCUCUAUUCUGCACCUAUUUUUAUUUUGGCAGGAUCAGCCCUCCAUAAAAAAGUUUUGUUUUGGAUAACCAACAAUUAAUAAAAACAUUAACAGUUAAGCAGAUGUUAAUGCAUAGAUGAAGAAAUUUAAAAGCAUUAUUAAUUUAAUUUCAGUCACUAAUUGAGUAUUCUCUCACAUUGUUAAUGUACACCCAGCUAAAAGGGCCCAUUGUUGUUGUUGUUUUUUUUUUUUUUUACAGAUUCAAAGAAUGGAUUAUUAUGGUAGUUCGCGGACCAAAAGAAGACGAAUUAAAGCAAAUGUGGCUAAGCAUUUAAAGUUCUUGGAAGACUUCAAGGCCCAAACAAUCUCAUUCACUCAUUUUGGAUUGCGCUUCAGAAAUGGACAACCAGAUUCCUAGAGAGGAUUUGAGCUGUGAGGCUAUUCUGAGUGAAAAUGGAAAAGAAUCAGACACGGAAUUUGAAGAAGAUAAAGAACAAUCAGUUGCUGAAACAAAAUGUAAUGGCACUGAGUUAGAUUUGGACAGCACCUUUGAGGAAACUGAUUCAAGAUGUGAACUUAAAAGGAAUUUGGCCAAUUGGGCAGUGAAUCGAAAUAUUUCCCACAGUGCGCUGACAGAACUACUACAUAUUUUAGCUCACUGUGGUCUGGAUUUACCCAAGGAUUCAAGAAGUCUUUUGUCAACCCCCAAAACAUUUCAAGUGAAAGAAAUGGGAAAUGGUAUUUACUAUCAUUUUGGAGUGGCUAAUGCAAUUACAUCACAGCUGUUAAAUGACUCCCAUAUUUCAGUUGAUACUUUAACUCUUCGGGUGAACAUUGAUGGGUUACCACUCUUCAGAAGCUCUAAAAUGGAAUUGUGGCCUAUUUUGGCCAUUGUUAAAGAAAUUCCAAAAUGUGGUGUCAUCAUCAUUGGGCUGUACGCAGGCUCGUCCAAGCCCGCAUCUGUUCAAGAAUACUUAAAUGACUUUAUUGAAGACUUGAAGUCAGUAACCAAAGAGGGUUUUCUUUACAAAGGAAAACACUUUAAUAUCGCACUUCCAGAUGCCUUUGUUUGUGAUGCACCUGCUCGGGCCUUUUUGAAAUGUGUCAAAGGCCAUUCUGGUUACAGCUCCUGUGAACGCUGUGCAGAGCAUGGAAUUUAUUUGGAUAAAAAGGUUGUGUUUCCUGAUUGUAAAGCACCUCUACGAACAGAUGAAGCAUUUGAACAUUUGACAGAUGAGGACCAUCAUCAUGGAGUUUCACCCUUGCAAGAUCUUGGCAUUGGGAUGGUGUCAAGCUUUGUACUUGACUAUAUGCAUUUAGUUUGUUUAGGACAUGUAAAAAAAGUUAUAAGUUUGUGGAUCAAAGGACCUCUAAAGUGUCGUCUAUCUGCAGUUACUAUUUCCAUCAUUUCUAAUCACAUGAAAUCAAUCAGAGAUCACUUUCCAAGAAACUUUUCCCGCAAACCGCGAUCACUGAUGGAGUACAGUCAGUGGAAGGCAACAGAAUUUAGGCAGUUUCUGUUGUACACAGGCCCAGUGGUUCUUCAAGGACGACUAUCCACACAAAUGUACAACAAUUUUUUGUUGCUCUCAGUAGCAAUUAGAAUCCUUCUCAGCCCAGCUUUGUGUUGUAAAUACUGUGACUAUGCUGACAGACUAUUGAAAUGUUAUGUUGCCAAUUUUGCUAAAGUAUAUGGAACAGAGCACUUAGUUUACAACACUCACUGCCUCGUGCAUUUAGCUGAUGAUGCCAGAAAGUAUGGUGCCUUGGACAACAUCUCAUGUUUUCCCUUCGAAAAUUAUCUGGGGACAUUAAAGCGACUUGUACGAAGACCCCAAAAUCCCCUACAACAAGUCAUUCGGCGUGUAGCUGAAAAGCGCGUUCCGGGUGAAAAUGAAAGGAAGAGCAAACCUCAACUACAACAUACAUGUGGUCCAACUCUCCCAGACUUUCCUGCUCGCAUGCAAUUCAGGCAGUACAAACAUGAGGGAAUUAUCAUUUCAUGUUCUGUAGGGAAUAACUGUUUUGAUGUUGAGGGCAAAGUUGCAGUAGUAAGGAAUAUAGUACAGUUGUUUUCAGGAGCCAUGUACAUUGUGUGUCAGUUUUAUGACAAACAAGACUGCUUCUGCAGAUACCCUACUGAUUUGUCGUGUCUUGGAAUCAGAACAGUGGCACAACUAUCCGAUCAUCUUUAUGGAGUACCUGUGACUAACCUGACAAAAAAACUUGUACUCCUGCCUUUGCGGGAUGGUCAUGUUGUCUUUCCCCAGUUACAUGAUCAAUGACAGGCUUCAUGUGACCUUUCAGCAUGUCCUUCAGCAUUGUGGAAUUCAUUGAAGAGUCGAAGGAAGGAAAGAAGUUGGUGGACAUUAUUCCAUCAUGUUGGUUCACAGAUGAAAACAAAGUCGAAUGCUUCUGGCCAUUGGGCCUUGGUAUAAACAUCACAAAGGCAGUGAAACAGCAACUGCAGCCAGAUGCGUCAUGGAAGACAUGCUGUGUGCGUGUACUUGGAAAUGCAGAAAACUACUGUGAUGCACGAAGAAAGCUUGCUAAGGCAGAAGCAGCAUCUGAUCUUCAAACAACUGAUAAUGAUAUCCCAGAAAAGCGACGUAAAAGGUCCUCCAAAAAAUGGAAUACCUUUUCAUCUAGUGAAGAAGAUGUGGAGUCUUCUGAGAAUGAAAUACCACCUUCUCCUCCACCUGAAUUUAUUGCAACUGGAUAUGCCCCAAGAGUGUUUAGCCCUUGUUCCCCCAGAUAUUCUCAUAGUUUAACAAGCCCCAGUGCAACGCCGACUCUGAGAAGCCUCAUUGCAGCGCCGAAUCUGAGAAGCCCCAGUGCAAUGCCGACUCUGAGAAGUUCCAGUGCAACGCCGACUCUGAGAAGUUCCAGUGCAACGCCGACUCUGAGAAGUUCCAGUGCAACGCCGACUCUGAGAAGCCCCAGUGCAACGCCGACUCUGAGAAGCCCCAGUGCAACCCCUGUUCCAAGACCUGGGACUUCAUUAAGCAUGAGUAGCACCAAUGGCUUGGAGGAGGUUUUGUUCACCAGACUGGUUACUCUUUUAGAGGACGUCAAAGAAACUCUAAAAAUACAUGGAAAGAUGUUGGAUACUCUACUGAAGCAAAAAUCUGCUGUAUCACUGGUGGAACCACCUGAGGGAGCUGUAUUUCCCAUGACUACAGUGGAUGAUGUCCUGGCAAUGAAUGAAAAGCUGAGUGACUCUGAAUUUAUGUCUGGAGUUAUCGCCAUGGUUGGAGAAAUUGGAGGCACAUCGUUGGAUGACGCAACAAGACGAAUGAUGGCAUUCUUGAUGUCCCAUGAAUUGGCUCUCCAGUUCAGUGUAUUUGGUCGCCAUGGAAAAAACAAGUUCCGUGACCUGCGCCUCUUCGAUGUUGUGUAUGGAGCACUUAAAAGAAAUGGAUGCAUCCAGGGAAUCACCCAGAAAGAUGCGGAGAAGGCCCUCUCGAAGUGGUUCACUGGAGCUCGUGACAGAGGUGGUAACAGAAAAGUUAGAUCAAAUAGGGAGGCUGCAAAUUCAAAUGCAGGUUGGCAGCUUUCUGAAGAUGGACAGCAUUUUUUGUAGUCAAGCCUUUUACACAUGCCUAGUUCAGCAGCUUUGAAUGUAGUAAGUUUGGGAGAUAAAAACCAUUUUGGUUUCAGAAACUCAUUUGUUAGACUUACAAUGUGACCAACAUGUAAGUGGAGUGUUUGUAGAUGCCCAAUAAAAGUUAUGCUUUGGACAUUUGAUUUAGUUUUGUGCUUUAAUGUAAAUGGAAAUUAUAUUUUCUAUUAAUUCCGUACUGUUGAAGAUGCAUUAAAUUGUUCUUCCUUCAAUAGACAUUUUAGUCUAGUUUGUUCACUGUAUAAUUUUACAUGUUUUCUUGAAACAAUUGCUUUUUGCUCAUCUGGAUUCAAAAGAAAUUACUGCCAAUUUUUAACAUUAGCCUGUAAACAGCCAUAGCAGUGUCUUAAAAGCCUUAACUGAAAAGACAGGUGUCAUUUAAAUAAGAUUUUGAAAUUCUGUUUGUCAAUUAAGAUUGCAUUUCCCUUAGUGUAAUUUUCCCAAGAAGCCGAAGCAGUAUCUCCUAGGAAACAGGCACAAGGGGCAGCAGAACACAAAGCACCACAGCCUUACCACUACGUCCCCUAGUGCAUGUUCACCCUGGAUAAUGGCCAUCCCAGCUAACGGGUACCCACAUCAGCCCCUGGCUGCAGAGCUACCAUCCACAAAGGAGGCGGGACACAUGAGGGGACAUGCACAAUGCUAUCCCAGUCAAGACAGCCUCCAGAGAGAACAAUGUUAGUGCACCCACUAGGAUACAGUCAUUACAUCCCAUGCCUGGCCUGUAGGGAUGCACGUUUUCCAAAAUUUCUUAACCAGCUAAUGAUGCCCUUAACGAUUAAUAGCUGGUUAACCGGACCCAGCCAACAACAACCCUCCCCCAGAUGAAACCCCAUUAGGACCCAGGCAGUGGAUACAUGGGUCUUGUGUUAGUAAACCAUCUGGGUUCCACUGAAAACCCAGUUGGGGCCCACUAGAAUCUAUGUGGGCAAACCCCUGUAGGUCCACCAUGGAAACCAUGGACAAACCCACAUGUUACCCAUAUUCCAGCCCACUUGAGACCUCAGUAAGGCCCAGUUAAGCAUCCCUCAAAGCACUUAGAUGGGGCACGCAUGGGUGUCCUGUAAUUCGACUAUCUGGGCUCCACUGAAAACCCAGUUGGGGCCCACUAUAAUCUAUGUGGGCAGACCCCUGUAGGUCCACCAUGGAAACCAUGGACAGACCCACAUGUUACCCAUAUUCCAGCCCACUUGAGACCUCAGUAAGGCCCAGUUAAGCAUCCCUCAAAGCACUUAGAUGGGGCACGCAUGGGUGUCCUGUAAUUCGACCAUCUGGGCUCCACUGAAAGCCCUUCCAGGGCCCGUCAUAAUCUAUGUGGGCAAACCCUUAUAGGUCCACCAUAAAAACCGUGGACAAGCCCAUUUGGGACCCAAGUAAUUUGCACAUUUAUAUAUCACGUGGGGCCCACCAAUGUAUG
Nothobranchius furzeri (turquoise killifish) is the source of this 6959-nucleotide non-coding RNA. NCBI's taxonomy places the organism in Eukaryota, Metazoa, Chordata, Actinopteri, Cyprinodontiformes, Nothobranchiidae. The record is from RefSeq and is a predicted model, not a curated record.